Long non-coding RNA from Spea bombifrons (plains spadefoot toad), 114 nucleotides. RefSeq lists it as uncharacterized. The transcript has 2 exons. The record is from RefSeq and is a predicted model, not a curated record. NCBI's taxonomy places the organism in Eukaryota, Metazoa, Chordata, Amphibia, Anura, Pelobatidae.
UAAUGAUUAUCAUAUGGUCCCAGGAAAAGUAUGAUGUGAUUGUAGGAGAUGGAAUAUUAAGGGAAAUGAUAAAAAGAGCACAAUCUUCUCAUUCCAUAACAAAUGUAGAGAAAA